RNAcentral lists this long non-coding RNA (1113 nucleotides) under Anas platyrhynchos platyrhynchos (common mallard). Its description in RNAcentral is "lncRNA (ENSAPLG00000029243.1)". The record is from RNAcentral. Lineage: Eukaryota; Metazoa; Chordata; Aves; Anseriformes; Anatidae.
AUGACAAAGGUGGUCACUGGUGAGCCUGGCACGGGAAGGAUCAGCCUCCCUCGCUCAGGGCUUUUCAAUCUUAGGCGUUGCUUUGCCAUCUCCCCCUGCCCCAGCAGUGCUGACGGUCUGACGAAAAUUUUGUGCCCCUUUUUUUGGGCUCUGGCGGUCCCGUGCUGCCAGCAGAGGGAGCCCCGUGCGCGCCGCCGGGACCCCGGUACCGGGCCUCCUCCCCACCGGCCGGGGGGCACAAGGGGCGGCUGCUGCUCGUUCUCCGGCAUCCGGAUUUUCCCUCCGGCAAAAGUGUUUGUUAGCUUGUUUUGUGUUUUUCCUUUUUUUUUUUUUUUUUGGUCUUUUUUUUUCCCCUCCCUCCACCCACCAACCUGCAGGACCAAGGCAGGAGCUGGCUUUGCUGGUCCCGCAGAGAAAACCCCACACCUCGGGGGGGUCCCAGCCCCAUCACCGCACCCACGGGGGAGCUGCGGCCCCGGUCCCCCGGGGGCAAAUCCCAGGGGGAAACACCCGCGGGAAGCCAAGGGUAGUCCGGCAGCAGAGGAGGGAGGGAUGCGGCUCCAAGCAAUGGGGCGGGGAAGGGGGGGCUGCAGCUGUGUCGCCCCCAAGAGCCUCGCUUCUACUUCUGCAUUUGGGGCGGGUUGUGGCCAAACAGCGCCCAGCAGGUGCCGGGCUCCGGGGGGGCAGAGCUGGGGUUGGGCAGUGGGGAGGGAAAAAGGGAUGGGAUGGAAAGGGCAGGGAAGAAGGGAAGGAGGAAAAAAAAAAAAAAAAAGAGAUGGGAAGGGCAUAAGGGAAAGAAUGGGAAGGGAAGAGCAGGGACGGGACAGGACGCAGAGGUUUGGUGUCCGGCUUCCCCGGGGAGCAUCUCCAGGGGAUCCCGGGCUGGGCUUUGCACGGAGGACCCCAAACCGCCCCCCACCAGCGGCGAAUGCCCAGUCCCGGUCCCCAACCCCCGGUCCCCCCUCCCGGCGCCCGCGGCACCUCCGCUCCCCCCGGCCCGGCCCCGGGGCUGGGGCCGGCACCUGCCGGGCUCCCUCCCCGCCCGCCCCAUUGGCUCCGGGAGCCGGGGGCGGCCCCGUCCCGCACCGCCCCCCGGCCCCGAUCCCAUAUUAA